Molecule: ribosomal RNA, 2899 nt
Filed under: Klebsiella pneumoniae
Lineage: Bacteria; Pseudomonadati; Pseudomonadota; Gammaproteobacteria; Enterobacterales; Enterobacteriaceae
Description: bacterial LSU rRNA
Rfam family: Bacterial large subunit ribosomal RNA
Source: RNAcentral
UUAAGCGACUAAGCGUACACGGUGGAUGCCCUGGCAGUCAGAGGCGAUGAAGGACGUGCUAAUCUGCGAAAAGCGUCGGUAAGGUGAUAUGAACCGUUAUAACCGGCGAUGUCCGAAUGGGGAAACCCAGUGCAAUUCGUUGCACUAUCGUUAACUGAAUACAUAGGUUAACGAGGCGAACCGGGGGAACUGAAACAUCUAAGUACCCCGAGGAAAAGAAAUCAACCGAGAUUCCCCCAGUAGCGGCGAGCGAACGGGGAGCAGCCCAGAGUCUGAAUCAGCUUGUGUGUUAGUGGAACGGUCUGGAAAGUCCGACGGUACAGGGUGAUAGUCCCGUACACCAAAAUGCACAGGCUGUGAACUCGAAGAGUAGGGCGGGACACGUGGUAUCCUGUCUGAAUAUGGGGGGACCAUCCUCCAAGGCUAAAUACUCCUGACUGACCGAUAGUGAACCAGUACCGUGAGGGAAAGGCGAAAAGAACCCCGGCGAGGGGAGUGAAAAAGAACCUGAAACCGUGUACGUACAAGCAGUGGGAGCACCUUCGGGUGUGACUGCGUACCUUUUGUAUAAUGGGUCAGCGACUUAUAUUCUGUAGCAAGGUUAACCGUAUAGGGGAGCCGCAGGGAAACCGAGUCUUAACUGGGCGUUAAGUUGCAGGGUAUAGACCCGAAACCCGGUGAUCUAGCCAUGGGCAGGUUGAAGGUUGGGUAACACUAACUGGAGGACCGAACCGACUAAUGUUGAAAAAUUAGCGGAUGACUUGUGGCUGGGGGUGAAAGGCCAAUCAAACCGGGAGAUAGCUGGUUCUCCCCGAAAGCUAUUUAGGUAGCGCCUCGUGAACUCAUCUUCGGGGUAGAGCACUGUUUCGGCUAGGGGGUCAUCCCGACUUACCAACCCGAUGCAAACUACGAAUACCGAAGAAUGUUAUCACGGGAGACACACGGCGGGUGCUAACGUCCGUCGUGAAGAGGGAAACAACCCAGACCGCCAGCUAAGGUCCCAAAGUCAUGGUUAAGUGGGAAACGAUGUGGGAAGGCACAGACAGCCAGGAUGUUGGCUUAGAAGCAGCCAUCAUUUAAAGAAAGCGUAAUAGCUCACUGGUCGAGUCGGCCUGCGCGGAAGAUGUAACGGGGCUAAACCAUGCACCGAAGCUGCGGCAGCGACACUAUGUGUUGUUGGGUAGGGGAGCGUUCUGUAAGCCUGCGAAGGUGUGCUGUGAGGCAUGCUGGAGGUAUCAGAAGUGCGAAUGCUGACAUAAGUAACGAUAAAGCGGGUGAAAAGCCCGCUCGCCGGAAGACCAAGGGUUCCUGUCCAACGUUAAUCGGGGCAGGGUGAGUCGACCCCUAAGGCGAGGCCGAAAGGCGUAGUCGAUGGGAAACAGGUUAAUAUUCCUGUACUUGGUGUUACUGCGAAGGGGGGACGGAGAAGGCUAUGUUAGCCGGGCGACGGUUGUCCCGGUUUAAGCAUGUAGGCUGGUUGUCCAGGCAAAUCCGGAUAAUCAAGGCUGAGGUGUGAUGACGAGGCACUACGGUGCUGAAGUAACAAAUGCCCUGCUUCCAGGAAAAGCCUCUAAGCAUCAGGUAACAUCAAAUCGUACCCCAAACCGACACAGGUGGUCAGGUAGAGAAUACCAAGGCGCUUGAGAGAACUCGGGUGAAGGAACUAGGCAAAAUGGUGCCGUAACUUCGGGAGAAGGCACGCUGGUGUGUAGGUGAAGCCCCUGCGGGUGGAGCUGAGACCAGUCGAAGAUACCAGCUGGCUGCAACUGUUUAUUAAAAACACAGCACUGUGCAAACACGAAAGUGGACGUAUACGGUGUGACGCCUGCCCGGUGCCGGAAGGUUAAUUGAUGGGGUUAUCCGUAAGGAGAAGCUCUUGAUCGAAGCCCCGGUAAACGGCGGCCGUAACUAUAACGGUCCUAAGGUAGCGAAAUUCCUUGUCGGGUAAGUUCCGACCUGCACGAAUGGCGUAAUGAUGGCCAGGCUGUCUCCACCCGAGACUCAGUGAAAUUGAACUCGCUGUGAAGAUGCAGUGUACCCGCGGCAAGACGGAAAGACCCCGUGAACCUUUACUAUAGCUUGACACUGAACAUUGAGCCUUGAUGUGUAGGAUAGGUGGGAGGCUUUGAAGCGUGGACGCCAGUCUGCGUGGAGCCAACCUUGAAAUACCACCCUUUAAUGUUUGAUGUUCUAACGUUGGCCCCUUACCGGGGUUGCGGACAGUGUCUGGUGGGUAGUUUGACUGGGGCGGUCUCCUCCCAAAGCGUAACGGAGGAGCACGAAGGUUAGCUAAUCCUGGUCGGACAUCAGGAGGUUAGUGCAAUGGCAUAAGCUAGCUUGACUGCGAGCGUGACGGCGCGAGCAGGUGCGAAAGCAGGUCAUAGUGAUCCGGUGGUUCUGAAUGGAAGGGCCAUCGCUCAACGGAUAAAAGGUACUCCGGGGAUAACAGGCUGAUACCGCCCAAGAGUUCAUAUCGACGGCGGUGUUUGGCACCUCGAUGUCGGCUCAUCACAUCCUGGGGCUGAAGUAGGUCCCAAGGGUAUGGCUGUUCGCCAUUUAAAGUGGUACGCGAGCUGGGUUUAGAACGUCGUGAGACAGUUCGGUCCCUAUCUGCCGUGGGCGCUGGAGAAUUGAGGGGGGCUGCUCCUAGUACGAGAGGACCGGAGUGGACGCAUCACUGGUGUUCGGGUUGUCAUGCCAAUGGCACUGCCCGGUAGCUAAAUGCGGAAGAGAUAAGUGCUGAAAGCAUCUAAGCACGAAACUUGCCCCGAGAUGAGUUCUCCCUGAGACUUUAAGUCUCCUGAAGGAACGUUGAAGACGACGACGUUGAUAGGCCGGGUGUGUAAGCGCAGCGAUGCGUUGAGCUAACCGGUACUAAUGAACCGUGAGGCUUAACCUU